AACGAACGCUGGCGGCAGGCCUAACACAUGCAAGUCGAACGGGUGUCGCAAGACAUCAGUGGCAGACGGGUGAGUAACACGUGGGAACCUUCCUCGGGGUACGGAACAACGCAGGGAAACUUGCGCUAAUACCGUAUACGACCGUUGAGGAGAAAGAUUUAUCGCCCUGAGACGGGCCCGCGUCGGAUUAGCUAGUUGGUGGGGUAAUGGCCUACCAAGGCGACGAUCCGUAGCUGAUCUUAGAGGAUGAUCAGCCACACUGGGACUGAGACACGGCCCAGACUCCUACGGGAGGCAGCAGUGGGGAAUCUUGGACAAUGGGCGCAAGCCUGAUCCAGCCAUGCCGCGUGAGUGAAGAAGGCCUUCGGAUUGUAAAGCUCUUUUACCAGGGACGAUAAUGACGGUACCUGGAGAAUAAGCCCCGGCAAACUUCGUGCCAGCCGCCGCCGUAA
RNAcentral lists this ribosomal RNA (452 nucleotides) under uncultured bacterium. RNAcentral's name for it is "partial 16S ribosomal RNA". It matches the Rfam family "Bacterial small subunit ribosomal RNA", at positions 29 to 523 of the family's 1533-position model. The record is from RNAcentral.